GGUAGGUCAGAAACCUCCAGGCAACUCUUCCAAAAGUGUUUGAACUAUAUAUAUCUGUUAUGUCCAAAGCACACUGAAGUUCUUGUUCCUCUGCUUUAAGUCAGACAAUGAGAGGGCCAUAUUUUUUCAUCUCCAAUGUUCUAAUUUUGUGCUUCCCUGCAUUAUGAUGUUGCUGGUCUGAAAGUGUAACAACCCUUAUAUCUCCAUCACUCAUCAUUUGAAUUGGAGCAUUGGAAUUUCAGGGGUAUAUUGAUAACUCUUAAGUAGACAAAAGAGUAUUGCAAGUUCUGAAAAGGAUUUGGGUCAAUAUUUGACGAAAUCUCCAGGACAAGGGCUCUUUUGUGAGGCAUUAAUGCGGCUUGAGUUCCCUACGUUGAGGUCAGAGAAGGGAGAAAGCAGAUUUUAGUUCAGAAAACAAUGGUGUGCCUUCAUGUUUGUAAAAUCCGCACCUGCCACUCACAAAUUAAGGAUUGAAAGGGGAAAGAUCAGAUGCUUUGAGAAUCACAACCUGUAAUUCCUUGAUUGGAAUACAUAGUGGUGCAAAAAUGCCCCAAGAUGAACACACCAAACUUUACCAGAAUAAAUCAGAUCUAUUAUGUCAAUGAAAAGUAUUAGGAAGGUGACCUCAACACAACUAUACAACAUCUUCACAUGAAAGAGAAUAUCAAGAGUUCUGGAAAAAUUUAGGUCAAACUUCGAUGCAGUCUCCGGAUUAAGGCAUCCUAUCUAAAUGGUUUGUGAGGUAUUAUGGCUCUUGGUCCAUAUGUUGAAGUGAGAGUGGAAGGGAAUUUUGUUUGCGUUCCUCUUGUGCUGCUUUUGCCCUCUUUCAUUGUGAAUUACUUCUUUGAAAGUGUUAUAGAACUUAGUUUCUUCACUCAUUUAAGGUUGAUUUGAAUAGUGGAGGUUGUUUUUCAUUCCUUUACUGUGUAUUUUAUUGAUGACUUAAUUAAGUGUGUAUUUGUGGGUGCCUUAAUAUGUCUAUGUAAUUAACUUUUAGUGUAUUACAAUGCUAUUUGAUGAAAUUGUCUUUUCAAAAGUAGUCUCUGU
Long non-coding RNA from Pistacia vera, 1047 nucleotides. RefSeq lists it as uncharacterized. Lineage: Eukaryota; Viridiplantae; Streptophyta; Magnoliopsida; Sapindales; Anacardiaceae. The transcript is spliced from 5 exons. The record is from RefSeq and is a predicted model, not a curated record.